UGGCUUGUGGUUUGAGAUGUGAGCGC
Molecule: non-coding RNA, 26 nt
Filed under: Rattus norvegicus (Norway rat)
Lineage: Eukaryota; Metazoa; Chordata; Mammalia; Rodentia; Muridae
Source: RNAcentral